Long non-coding RNA from Actinia tenebrosa (Australian red waratah sea anemone), 1237 nucleotides. The record is from RefSeq and is a predicted model, not a curated record. NCBI's taxonomy places the organism in Eukaryota, Metazoa, Cnidaria, Anthozoa, Actiniaria, Actiniidae.
GAGCCAAGGUCAGACAGUUUUUAUCCAGAACCAAUUUGGCCAAGCCACUGCAUAUAUCAUUGAGAUUAUCGACGCAGCAGAAAGGACCGUAGUUUUGCGUAAUCCACUCAAUGUACUCGACAAUAAUCUCUUCGCAGACCAGGGCUUAUGGAAUGAUAGUUUUGUACUUGGGCCUCCACCUCCUUAUACAGCUUCUGAAGAUGUCAACGAACAACAAGAAAGGGUACAGCCAUUGCCCAAUGACAGUGAGCGGGAGGAAUAACUUUUCAAGAAGUCUUAAAAUUUUAUAAGCACGGCAUCUUAAACAAAACGCACGUUCUGUGUAAUUUACGAAGUCAAGAAAAAAAGGUUCCUGGUUCAUUCUUAAGAAACUCGUGCCACAGGAAUCCCAACCGACUAAACAAGGAGAUAAAGAGACUAAGACAUGAAGAAAAGCCUGGGCAAGAGGCUUCCAGUGACUCUGAUGGAGUUCAAGUCAGUUCGAGUACGAGUCUGCUAUAUGUUGAUGACUACUCUUCCCAUUAGUGGGUUGAUUUUUUAAUCGCUUCGUAGCGUCCGUUAUGUUAACCGCGAGUGCACCGCGUGAUCAAAACUUGACUACACUUCGAUCACGUGGUGUAAAAAAUUUUGUCCACGUGAUACAACAUUGGCAUCACGUGGUCGAUUUGAAAUGCACUUAUUGUUUAGCUUGCAUCAUUUGAAACAAGGCUACGAUGGAAAACAGACCCGUUUGCCUCCUUUCUGAUAUUAAUCACCUAACAUCAUUGAUAUAUCUAGGAUGCUUACCAUAUAUACAUGUAUGAAAAAUACAGAAGUUCCUAUGCGAAAUUACGAUGACGUUUUCCUUUUGUUGACGCAUUCAUUAUUUGCUAGCCAGAAAACCAUCAAAACACGUGACAAACCUAUUUAAUAAAUAAUGAUAAUAGUAAUAAAAAAAAGGAAGAAUAUAAGAAUAUAAGAACCAGAGAAAAAAUGCUUACAGAAACACAUUAAAUUUAACUGUAAUUCAAAACUUGUUUGCAUCUAUUUACUUGACCGACUAGUUGGAUUUGACUAAAACAGUUAGUCCUCUCGCCCUCAUGGCCUGUAUGCGGUUAGUCACAGACAGUCCAAGGUCUGUGCUGGAGAGAAUAACUAAAGCCAGUACAGAAUGUAUUGGAUUGUUUUCGAAAUCCUCUCGAAUUGUCGUUUGAGACUUACCACUACCGAUUUAUACGAACAUUUUCUGUUUCUAUUU